GCUGGACACCCAUGACAAACUCAUGGAGGAACAUGGAGAACCAGUCGAAGACUUUGAGAUGAUUCCACUAAAUGAUAAGAAUGAGGGGCACACAGUCAAGAUCGAAUCAAAGCUGGAUCAAGUAACUAAGAAACAUCUUGUUUCCUUUUUGUACAAAAAUAUGGAUGUGUUCGCUUGGACCCCAGCUGAUACGCAGGCAUUGAUCCUACGAUCAUGACAUGUUGGUUGAGUGU
RNAcentral lists this long non-coding RNA (233 nucleotides) under Elaeis guineensis (African oil palm). RNAcentral's name for it is "long non-coding RNA (EGUI_LNC023305)". The record is from RNAcentral. Lineage: Eukaryota; Viridiplantae; Streptophyta; Magnoliopsida; Arecales; Arecaceae.